This 215-nucleotide unclassified non-coding RNA is filed under the name uncultured Actinomycetes bacterium. Its description in RNAcentral is "uncultured actinobacterium contains 16S-23S intergenic spacer region". Lineage: Bacteria; Bacillati; Actinomycetota; Actinomycetes. The record is from RNAcentral.
UCCGGUUUGGCACCGGCAGUCUCCUCAGAGUUCCCGGCAUGACCCGCUGGCAACUGAGGACAAGGGUUGCGCUCGUUGCGCCACUUAAGGCAACACCUCACGGCACGAGCUGACGACAGCCAUGCACCACCUGUGCAGGCUCCGUAGAGCUCCGGCUUUCACCGGCUUCACCCUGCAUGUCAAGCCCUGGUAAGGUGGGGAUGACGUGAGCCUAU